Molecule: long non-coding RNA, 1198 nt
Filed under: Nicotiana benthamiana
Lineage: Eukaryota; Viridiplantae; Streptophyta; Magnoliopsida; Solanales; Solanaceae
Description: long non-coding RNA (NBEN_LNC014369)
Source: RNAcentral
UGAACAAAUAUCCAAGCCUACCCAUUUUGGCUAGCUCCCUUAUCAUGUCAAAUCCCAAGGUCCACACUUACUCCAACUUAAUCUUCUUCUUUUUUAAUUAUCUUAAAACCCAAUUGCGUUCUCUACUGAAUUGUUCCUCUAGUUUCAAAUCAUUCAAGCUCAUUUCAAUAUGCAUCCAAACACUUGAAGCCACGGGUAAUAAGGAAAUACCAUCAAAUAUGAACAACUAAACUCAAAUGAUGAAGUUAAGUGAUAUAAACAUAUUUCUGGCCCAUUGUGACUUGCAGUUCCAAAAGCACACUGCCACGACAAUAGGUUUUGAAUCAUAAAUGACCCAAAAAUCAAAAUAACACCUCCAAAGACAUAUGACCAAAUGAAAAGAGAAAAGAUCCAAACAACUACAAAUCUACACAGAAAACUAAAUCCAAGAAAUAGCGCAUCGCUAAAAAAUUGCUCAAAACACUAAUAAAAAAUUAAUUAGAUUAAAGCAAGAAAUAAACCUUAAGUGUUGAAUAUGAAACUUUAACUAUUUUACAGCCCAACAAUCUGAAAGCAAAAUAAACCAUGAAUGACCCAAUCGAACUUGGCGGUCUCGGCUUGGAUCUCAACUCGACUCAAAAACUCUAGCUAUUUUCUGGUGGUGUUCAACUAUAGAAUUUGCUACGUGUGCUUAGGGGUGUAUUGCUAUUAGCUUCAUGAGGUGAAGAAACGGGUCACUGGUUGCUAUUCGUUUUUCGGCGAGAUCGAUUGUUGAAGAAACAAGACGCUCAUUUUCUUUCUGAUUUCUGGUCAGAGUUCGGACUAAUUUUCGAGGCUUCUUCGAAGUGAUUUAAAGGCUGGUUUAAGGGGAAUUUUUAGCUCAUUUUGGAGCUUUAUUCGACUGCUUCAAUGGAGUUUGGGGGUGUUGAAUGGAGGAUCAGGACUGGAAUUAGAGGAGGUCAUCUAGUGUGGUUGGCGUGAGGUUUGGGGAAUUAGAGUUUAGGGGUGAAGAAGAUGGGGGGUCAUGUGUUUUGUUGAAGAAUAAGCAGAAUGGUGGGGACGGGUCUAUGUCUUCUGGGGCUGAUCUCUAAGGUCUAAUGUCUAGAUUAGUUUUGUAGGAUUUUUUAGAUUAAGAGGUAUGAGCCUAGGAAUUAUGGGCUAGGUCCGAAAAGUUGGCUUAAAAAUGGGUUGUUUGAGUAUAAAUUUUAUUCUUUUUCCG